AGUCUCAGUUCAGAUUGUAGGCUGCAACUCGCCUACAUGAAGUCGGAAUUGCUAGUAAUCGCGGAUCAGCAUGCCGCGGUGAAUACGUUCCCGGGCCUUGUACACACCGCCCGUCAAGCCAUGGGAGCCGGGGGCGCCUGAAGUCCGGGACCGCGAGGACCGGCCUAGGGCGAAACUGGUAACUGGGGCUAAGUCGUAACAAGGUACC
This 208-nucleotide ribosomal RNA is filed under the name uncultured bacterium. RNAcentral's name for it is "partial 16S ribosomal RNA". It matches the Rfam family "Bacterial small subunit ribosomal RNA", at positions 1284 to 1500 of the family's 1533-position model. The record is from RNAcentral.